GUAGUAGGGCACAGCCCGGCGAAAGUCGGAUUAAUUCCCUAUGACUCCUCACAGAUGACAUCAGAAGUGAAGCAAAGAUUUAUCGCUAUGGGAUGGGGAUGCGUCUGAUUAGGUUGCAGGCGGGGUAACGGCCCACCUGGGCCUACGAUCAGUAGGGGUUCUGAGAGGAAGGUCCCCCACAUUGGAACUGAGACACGGUCCAAACUCCUACGGGAGGCAGCAGUGAGGAAUAUUGGUCAAUGGAGGCAACUCUGAACCAGCCAAGUAGCGUGCAGGACGAACCGGCCCUAUGGGUUGUAAACUGCUUUUAUGAGGGGAUAACCUGCGCCACGUGUGGCGCACUGCAUGUACCUCAUGAAUAAGGACCGGCUAAUUCCGUGCCAGCCGCGGC
Molecule: ribosomal RNA, 391 nt
Filed under: uncultured bacterium
Lineage: Bacteria
Description: bacterial SSU rRNA
Rfam family: Bacterial small subunit ribosomal RNA
Source: RNAcentral